This 407-nucleotide ribosomal RNA is filed under the name uncultured bacterium. Its description in RNAcentral is "partial 16S ribosomal RNA". It matches the Rfam family "Bacterial small subunit ribosomal RNA", at positions 30 to 526 of the family's 1533-position model. The record is from RNAcentral.
AUUGAACGCUGGCGGCAGGCCUAACACAUGCAAGUCGAGCGGAGCGGCGGACGGGCGAAUAAUGCCUAGGAACCUGCCUGGUAGUGGGGUAUAACGUCCGGACACGGGCGCUAAUCCAGCAUUCUAUCAGAUGAGCCUAGGUCGGAUUAGCUAGUUGGUGGGGUAAAGGCCUACCAAGGCGACGAUCCGUAACUGGUCUGAGAGGAUGAUCAGUCACACUGGAACUGAGACACGGUCCAGACUCCUACGGGAGGCAGCAGUGGGGAAUAUUGGACAAUGGGCGAAAGCCUGAUCCAGCCAGGCCGCGUGUGUGAAGAAGGUCUUCGGAUUGUAAAGCACUUUAAGUUGGGAGGCGUUACCAACAGAAUAAGCACCGGCUAACUUCGUGCCAGCAGCCGCGGUAAUUC